GUGAGGAAUAUUGCGCAAUGGAGGCAACUCUGACGCAGCCAUGCCGCGUGCAGGAAGAAGGCGCUACGCGUUGUAAACUGCUUUUAACCGGGAAGAAACCCCAGGACGUGUCCUGGGUUGACGGUACCGGAGGAAUAAGCACCGGCUAACUUCGUGCCAGCAGCCGCGGUAAUACGAAGGGUGCAAGCGUUAUCCGGAUUCAUUGGGUUUAAAGGGUGCGUAGGCGGAGCGUUAAGUCAGUUGUGAAAUCCUGCAGCUUAACUGUAGACUUGCCAUUGAUACUGGCGCUCUUGAGUGCGCUUGAAGUGGGCGGAAUGUGCCGUGUAGCGGUGAAAUGCUUAGAUAUGGCACAGAACACCAAUUGCGAAGGCAGCUCACUAAGGCGAUACUGACGCUGAGGCACGAAAGCGUGGGGAUCGAACAGGAUUAGAAACCCUGGUAGUCC
This 445-nucleotide ribosomal RNA is filed under the name uncultured bacterium. RNAcentral describes it as "partial 16S ribosomal RNA". It matches the Rfam family "Bacterial small subunit ribosomal RNA", at positions 354 to 796 of the family's 1533-position model. The record is from RNAcentral.